RNAcentral lists this ribosomal RNA (397 nucleotides) under uncultured bacterium. RNAcentral's name for it is "bacterial SSU rRNA". It matches the Rfam family "Bacterial small subunit ribosomal RNA", at positions 30 to 431 of the family's 1533-position model. The record is from RNAcentral.
AUUGAACGCUGGCGGCAUGCCUUACACAUGCAAGUCGAACGGCAGCACGGGAGCUUGCUCCUGGUGGCGAGUGGCGAACGGGUGAGUAAUACAUCGGAACGUACCCUGAAGUGGGGGAUAACGUAGCGAAAGUUACGCUAAUACCGCAUAUUCUGUGAGCAGGAAAGAGGGGGAUCGCAAGACCUCUUGCUUUAGGAGCGGCCGAUGUCGGAUUAGCUAGUUGGUGAGGUAAAGGCUCACCAAGGCGACGAUCCGUAGCGGGUCUGAGAGGAUGAUCCGCCACACUGGGACUGAGACACGGCCCAGACUCCUACGGGAGGCAGCAGUGGGAAUUUUGGACAAUGGGCGCAAGCCUGAUCCAGCCAUGCCGCGUGAGUGAAGAAGGCCUGGUGUAAGC